This 253-nucleotide ribosomal RNA is filed under the name uncultured bacterium. Its description in RNAcentral is "partial 16S ribosomal RNA". It matches the Rfam family "Bacterial small subunit ribosomal RNA", at positions 524 to 776 of the family's 1533-position model. The record is from RNAcentral.
UACGUAGGGCGCAAGCGUUGUCCGGAAUUAUUGGGCGUAAAGAGCUCGUAGGCGGUUUGUCGCGUCUGCUGUGAAAACUCGAGGCUCAACCUCGGGCUUGCAGUGGGUACGGGCAGACUAGAGUGCGGUAGGGGAGACUGGAAUUCCUGGUGUAGCGGUGGAAUGCGCAGAUAUCGGGAGGAACACCGAUGGCGAAGGCAGGUCUCUGGGCCGCAACUGACGCUGAGGAGCGAAAGCAUGGGGAGCGAACAGG